Molecule: small RNA, 253 nt
Filed under: Enterobacter kobei
Lineage: Bacteria; Pseudomonadati; Pseudomonadota; Gammaproteobacteria; Enterobacterales; Enterobacteriaceae
Source: RNAcentral
AAGGCGAGGACGCCAUAGGAUAAAGACUUACGGAUGAGGGGUCUGGAGCGCCAGGAGGCGAAGACCGGGAUUUUAAGGAUAAUGAACGUCUGGAGACGUUUUCACAGGGACAGGGAUUUAAUCAGGGACGGUUUACCGCUAAAGGAUAGACAGGGCAGGUUGCGAGCAAACACGGAUGGUUCAGCCCGUUUCGGGUGGUGGGUCAAGAAAAAAGGCGACAGAUUACUCUGUCGCCUUUUUUCUUUGCUUGCUU